UCGGGAAUUUUGGGCAAUGGGGGAAACCCUGACCCAGCAACGCCGCGUGAAGGAUGAAGUAUUUCGGUAUGUAAACUUCGAAAGAAUAGGAAGAAUUAAUGACGGUACUAUUUAUAAGGUCCGGCUAACUACGUGCCAGCAGCCGCGGUAAUACGUAGGGACCAAGCGUUGUUCGGAUUUACUGGGCGUAAAGGGCGCGUAGGCGGCAUGACAAGUCACUUGUGAAAUCUCUGGGCUUAACCCAGAACGGCCAAGUGAAACUGUCGCGCUAGAGUGCGGAAGGGGCAAUCGGAAUUCUUGGUGUAGCGGUGAAAUGCGUAGAUAUCAAGAGGAACACCUGAGGUGAAGACGGGUUGCUGGGCCGACACUGACGCUGAUGCGCGAAAGCCAGGGGAGCAAACGGGAUUAGAUACCCCGGUAGUCCUGGCCCUAAACGAUGAAUACUUGGUGUCUGGAGUUAUUAGUGCUCCGGGUGCCGUCGCUAACGUUUUUAGUAUUCCGCCUGGGGAGUACGCUCGCAAGAGUGA
RNAcentral lists this ribosomal RNA (527 nucleotides) under uncultured Acidobacteriota bacterium. RNAcentral's name for it is "bacterial SSU rRNA". It matches the Rfam family "Bacterial small subunit ribosomal RNA", at positions 355 to 897 of the family's 1533-position model. The record is from RNAcentral. Lineage: Bacteria; Pseudomonadati; Acidobacteriota.